UGCCUACUUCUCCCCAUCUCCACCCCUAUCACGCCUAGUUUAGGCUUCCACUACCUCCCACCACGGCUGCUGCUACAGCCUCCUCCCUGGCUUUGCUUUCCCUGCAGCCAAAUCUCGCCUCAUUAGUCUCAUUUUGAACAUCUGUCAACGACAUGGCCAGAUCUGUGUUCGGCAGACACACACCCAGAGAGCGACCAGCGCCUUCCACGCGGCCCCGGGAGGGCUGCUCAGUAUAGCCCACUCGGGUAAGAGCUGGAAGUGUUGGGAACUGCUAGUCCAGGAUCCCUAGUGCACCCUUCACAGCUCUUUCUGGUUCAGCUCCAGCCUCUCGCCCUGACGCCAGUCCGAUAGUCCCCAGACUGGUGCUACCCGGAAUGCCUUCAGCUCAGCCUUCACAACCCAGCCCUCACAUUGCCUUCCCAUGAAGCCUGACACCCUGAUGCUGUGACUCAAAGCCUCGCCAUCAGCCAAAGCCUAGUUAAUGGAUGGACAGAGCCGGUCUCAGCAGGGUCCUCCUGCAGCUUCCUGAGCAGGGACUCCAGGUGAGAGACCUUCUCGGACAGGCUCCUGGGUUCUGGCCUGAGGACAUGGGGGUCAAGACUCAGCUGGACUGAGGCAGAGCACUCACCCUCAGUGGCCUCACCCUCCCGGGACAGCGACUCCAGGAUGGUGUUGCAAGUGGAGG
Molecule: long non-coding RNA, 685 nt
Organism: Eptesicus fuscus (big brown bat)
Lineage: Eukaryota; Metazoa; Chordata; Mammalia; Chiroptera; Vespertilionidae
Exons: 3
Source: RefSeq, a predicted model, not a curated record